GCCGGGUAUGGUGGCGCACACCUGUAAUCCCAGCUACCCGGGAGGCUGAGGCAGGAGAAUUGAUUGAACCCGGGAGGUGAAGGUUGCAGUGAGCCGAGAUUGCGCCACUGCACUCCAGCCUGGGUGGCAAGAGUGAGACUCCAUCUCUUUUUUUUUUUUUUUUUUGAGACGGAGUCUCUGUCGCCCAGGCUGGAGUGCAGUGGCCUGAUCUCAGCUCACUGCAAGCUCCGCCUCCCGGGUUUACACCAUUCUCCUGCCUC
This 260-nucleotide signal recognition particle RNA is filed under the name Macaca fascicularis (crab-eating macaque). RNAcentral's name for it is "Metazoan signal recognition particle RNA (ENSMFAG00000051657.1)". It matches the Rfam family "Metazoan signal recognition particle RNA". Rfam says of the family: The signal recognition particle (SRP) is a universally conserved ribonucleoprotein. It is involved in the co-translational targeting of proteins to membranes. The record is from RNAcentral. Lineage: Eukaryota; Metazoa; Chordata; Mammalia; Primates; Cercopithecidae.